Molecule: long non-coding RNA, 305 nt
Organism: Bombus pyrosoma
Lineage: Eukaryota; Metazoa; Arthropoda; Insecta; Hymenoptera; Apidae
Exons: 2
Source: RefSeq, a predicted model, not a curated record
AACUCACAUAGUAUACUUUUUCAUUUUUAUGUAGCAGAGAUAGAUUGCACUCAUAGGAAAGUAAUUGAUCGUGUAUAAUGCAAGGAGAAGUCCAAUUUCCCAUUGCAGCUCCACAUGUUAUACUUGUUUUCCACUCAAAAAUGACAAGGAGAUCCAUCCACAUAACGUAACACAGUUUCAUGGUUUUUAUACAAUAUAGGAUUUUCUUUUGGAAACCCUAAACUCUACCAACAAAUAUAAAUAUUUUCUUGUAAUUUUUAAUUUAAAAAAUAGUAUAAAUUUAAAUAAAAAAAUUAUAAAUUUAA